AUAGAAUAAAAUAGCCGGUCAAACAAAACCCUAGAAACCAAAAAUUACGAAGACCUCAGCGAAACGAUCACAAAAUUUAUUUCCCCAAAUUCUCGCUUUCGUUUUUUUUUUAUAAUCUAUCUAAACUCUCGUCUUUUUUUUCCCAAAAAAUCUCUUCUUUUUCUUUCAGAAUCAAUUUCAAUUCGCAGGUAUUUAUAUUGCUGAUAAUAAUGGCGGGUCAGAGGAAUAGUUCUGGCAAGCGGGCUCAUUCUCAGUCUGACUAUUCUGAGAAUGGAUCAAAUAAGAGGAGAAAUGCAGGGGAUGACAGGGAACAAUUUAUUAUUGCUUCGGAAGAUGCUGUAUAUCGGUAUUUGUGCCCUGCAAGAAAGAUAGGAAGCAUUAUUGGAAGGGGAGGGGAGAUUGUUAAGCAAUUAAGAGCAGACACUAAAUCAAAGAUUAGAAUUGGUGAGACAGUUCCUGGUUCUGAGGAGCGUGUGGUUACUAUCUACAGCUCUAGGGAUGAGACAAAUUCCCUCGAAGAGGGUGACAAUUUUGUUUCUCCUGCUCAAGAUGCUUUAUUCAGGGUGCAUGACAAAGUUGUUGCAGAAGAUUUGCACAGUGAUGAAGAAUCUGAAGGCCACCAAAUUACUGCUCGGCUUCUUGUAUCUUCUGAUCAGAUUGGAUGUGUUAUAGGAAAGGGUGGACAGAUCGUUCAGAACAUACGUAGUGAAACUGGUGCUCAGAUUCGCAUUCUUAAGGAUGAUUUACCUUCUUGUGCCUUGGCCACAGAUGAACUUGUCCAGAUAUCUGGGGAAGCUGCAGUUGUGAAAAGGGCUCUGCAUCAAAUUGCAUCUUGCCUUCAUGAGAAUCCUUCACGAUCUCAGCACUUGCUUGCUUCUGCAAUGUCAAAUGUGUAUCCUGCUGGUGGUGCACUGCUUGGCCCAGCUGCAGGUGCCCAGAUCGUAGGAAUAGCUUCAUUGGUGGGUCCUUAUGGAGGAUACAAAGGUGACACUGGAGAAUGGCCACACUCCUUGUAUUCGGCUCCAAGGGAUGAGAUGUCAUCAAAAGAAUUUUCUCUUCGGUUGGUUUGUCCAACUGCUAAUAUUGGAGGUGUGAUUGGCAAAGGUGGUGCUAUAAUCAACCAGAUCAGGCAGGAAUCAGGUGCAGCCAUCAAAGUUGAUAGCACAAAUACUGAUGGAGAUGAUUGCUUAAUAACUAUUUCAGCGAAGGAGUUCUUUGAGGACACAUAUUCACCUACCAUUGAAGCUGCUGCACGGUUGCAACCUAGAUGCAGUGAGAAGGUUGAAAGAGACUCUGGAAUUAUAUCAUUCACAACCCGCUUACUUGUGCCAACCUCACGUAUUGGCUGCCUUAUUGGUAAAGGAGGAGCCAUUGUAACUGAAAUGAGGAGGAUUACAAAAGCUAAUAUUCGUAUCUUGUCAAAGGAAAACCUUCCAAAAAUUGCAUCUGAAGAUGACGAGAUGGUCCAGAUUGCUGGAGACCUUGAUGUUGCAAAGGAAGCCCUUGUGCAAAUAACAACACGGUUAAGAGCAAAUCUUUUUGAUAGGGAAGGUGCUGUGUCUGCAUUAGUGCCUGUUUUGCCUUAUCUUCCUGUGCCAACAGAGGGAACAGACAGUUUGAGUUAUGAAAGUAGAGAGAACAAGAGGCAUGGACGUGGGCAUACUUAUUCUGGUGGUUAUGGCUCCAGUACUUUAGCUGCUAGUGACAGCUAUGGAAGUUAUGGUGGUCCCCAGGUUGGUGGUAGUAGCAGUGUUUAUGGAGCUUAUGGAGGCUAUUCUUCAGGACGUGGUGGUCCUUCUGGGAGAAAUGCUUUGAGCUGAGGGAGCAAUUUCACUAUUAAAAACUUUAUAUUGAAAUAUUUGAACUACAUGACAUAAAGUUUUCUUUAGGGGUUAUCCAGCCACACUCCUGUUUCCCGGCGCAAAAAUUAUGGUUACUAAGAUUUGGUGAUUGGUACGUGCAGAUAGACUAUGGUUUUGCUUUUGGUAUUCUUAUAUCUAUUGUUAUAACUUGCAAUUCUCUUUGGUUUGGUUCGGUACAUUACUAGUGUAUGACAAGUUUGAUAACAUAGCCUAUCCAAUCUCCCUAUUUAGGGUUCUGAUGCUCUUGUUUUCCCUUUGUUGCCUUUCCAUUCCCAUUAAAACAGCUGAGAUUUAUGAAGCCUGAAGCCAGCCUACAGCCUAAUUUGAUGAAGCCUGCCUAAACCGGAAGACCAGAUGAACCAGGGUUUGACAUACUCAUGGCCCACCCACCCUGAUGCUAAUACCAAAUAUAUGUGGAGAUCUUAUUAUUCUCUAUGAAAUUUGCCAUGUCCAUGACACCAAAAAUACCAAGCUUUAUUUUAUGUGCUUCCAAGAACCUAGCUAGCCGGCAUGCCUGUUGCUGCCUUUUUUUUUCCCUUAUUUUCUUGUCUUUUCUGCUUUCUAGUUUACAUUUGUCUAGGGGUUCGAAACCUUGUACCUUCUUCCAUCCACUGGCGGUUGUAUUAAGGGUGCUGGGUUUGUUAUCUAACAUUUGUCUUCUGCAUUUUCUUAAUUCGCUGGUUGUGUCAAUUUAUGAUUGGAUCAUAUCCUCAACUUACAGUUUACCUUAAAAAGUAGUGCAGAAGACAUAAUCUGGAUUGCUGGCAUUUUUAUUCUAUUUUAUUAACAUCUAAAUGGUCCUUGAGUCUUUUUAAUUUCCCUUAAUCAACAAGUCCAUUGGUAUUUACAUAAAUUUAUUGAGGGAUAGCUUCUUGAAAACAUGUUUACUCAAAAACUUAAAAAGUAUUAUCAAUUGUUUUCCUCAGCUUAAACUGAUUACCUGAGAGAAAUGGACUGCCUGUAAUAGCAUUUCCUUUGAGCAUGUGAUAUAGAUAAUGGUAUGGUAAGGAAAAUUGUUACCAAACAAACAAACUUUGUUUGGUGACAGGGAAGAGGAGGAAGGAAAAUGGAUGGAUUUGCACUUUUUCCCCCCUAAAUCAAAUCCUUUCAAAUUAGAAGGAAACCAAACUUUCUAUUUGAAUAUUUUAUUUACAAUUUUACCCUUAAUUCUCUGUAUUUCCGUCUGUUUUUCAUCUUUCAUACCAAAGACGAAUGGAAUUGUGAAUUGUUUUCCUAUCUUUUUUCUGUCUUUCCUACCAAACUUAUUGUCAAUGAUGCAGAGAAUGGAUGUAAUAUGGCAUCUAGUUAUGGACUGUUAGGGUUCGACUCCUUAACAUUGGCUUUCAGUGAUAUAUGUAUGUUGCAUUAUUUUGGGAAAAUUGCUAGUAUACGCUGUUGCACAGCUAGAUGUACUAUGCUACCAAUGGUUUUCCUAAUUAAAUGACAUUAUAAACAUGAGAAAGGACUAUGUGUUGGUGUCUUUUGCAAUGUUGGAUUAGGUUUUUCGAUUUUGUCCUGCACAAAGACCUCAAAUGAAAGGUAAGAGCUUAUUGUUUUUUAUGGUUGCCUAUAACUUGAGAGAAUGAAGGAGCUCAUUGAGGUGUUUGAAGCACACUGGUAAGUGAUUUCUUAAUCUCCUAAUAGUGUUGUGUGUAUUAUUUUGUCAAUAUGGUUGGACUGCUUAGACUGGUUUAUGAGCAAUUGAUUUGAUGGCAGGUUCUGAAUCUCCUUG
Non-coding RNA from Durio zibethinus, 3594 nucleotides. Lineage: Eukaryota; Viridiplantae; Streptophyta; Magnoliopsida; Malvales; Malvaceae. The record is from RefSeq and is a predicted model, not a curated record.